Molecule: non-coding RNA, 84 nt
Filed under: Virgibacillus pantothenticus
Lineage: Bacteria; Bacillati; Bacillota; Bacilli; Caryophanales; Bacillaceae
Description: c-di-GMP-II sequence
Rfam family: Cyclic di-GMP-II riboswitch aptamer
Source: Rfam by way of RNAcentral
UUUUUAUGAGGGAGCAAAGAUGUGCGAUAAUAUGUGGGCACCUUAAAUCGCAUGGAGCUAGUGGUGCAACCGACCUCUACGUAA